UUAGUACGGCGAGUGAAGCGGCAAAAGCUCAAAUUUGAAAUCUGGUACCUUCGGUGCCCGAGUUGUAAUUUGGAGAGGGCAACUUUGGGGCCGUUCCUUGUCUAUGUUCCUUGGAACAGGACGUCAUAGAGGGUGAGAAUCCCGUGUGGCGAGGAGUGCGGUUCUUUGUAAAGUGCCUUCGAAGAGUCGAGUUGUUUGGGAAUGCAGCUCUAAGUGGGUGGUAAAUUCCAUCUAAAGCUAAAUAUUGGCGAGAGACCGAUAGCGAACAAGUACAGUGAUGGAAAGAUGAAAAGAACUUUGAAAAGAGAGUGAAAAAGUACGUGAAAUUGUUGAAAGGGAAGGGCAUUUGAUCAGACAUGGUGUUUUGUGCCCUCUGCUCCUUGUGGGUAGGGGAAUCUCGCAUUUCACUGGGCCAGCAUCAGUUUUGGUGGCAGGAUAAAUCCAUAGGAAUGUAGCUUGCCUCGGUAAGUAUUAUAGCCUGUGGGAAUACUGCCAGCUGGGACUGAGGACUGCGACGUAAGUCAAGGAUGCUGGCAUAAUGGUUAUAUGCCGCCCGUCUUGAAACACGGACCAA
Molecule: ribosomal RNA, 574 nt
Filed under: Saccharomyces cerevisiae (brewer's yeast)
Lineage: Eukaryota; Fungi; Ascomycota; Saccharomycetes; Saccharomycetales; Saccharomycetaceae
Description: eukaryotic LSU rRNA
Rfam family: Eukaryotic large subunit ribosomal RNA
Source: RNAcentral